This 347-nucleotide ribosomal RNA is filed under the name uncultured bacterium. Its description in RNAcentral is "bacterial SSU rRNA". It matches the Rfam family "Bacterial small subunit ribosomal RNA", at positions 920 to 1269 of the family's 1533-position model. The record is from RNAcentral.
GACCCCGCACAAGCGGCGGAGCAUGCGGCUUAAUUCGAUGAUACCCGUAGAACCUUACCUGGACUUGACAUAUAGGGAAAAACUAAAGAAAUUUAGUGUGCGUAAGCGCCCUAUACAGGUGGUGCAUGGCUGUCGUCAGCUCGUGUCGUGAGAUGUUGGUUAAGUCCCGCAACGAGCGCAACCCCUGUCCUAUGUUGCCAGCAUUUAGUUGGGGACUCAUAGGAGACUGCCGGUGAUAAACCGGAGGAAGGUGGGGAUGACGUCAAGUCAUCAUGCCCCUUAUGUCCAGGGCUGCACGCAUGCUACAAUGGCAAGUACAGAGAGCAGCCACUUCGCAAGAAGGAGCG